CAGAGGAUUGUUGCCUUGGUGUUUGAGGGGCAAAAGAAUCAACUUCCAAGGCUGAAGAAGCUCCCUUUCGCUCUGGAGUACGGACGUCUUUUGCCUAGAGAUGGCCAAGGCACAGGAAAAGAGAAAUCCGGCUAAGAUGCAGGUCCUCCGCCCAGUUCUUCUGGAGCCAGUGAAGGGCAGGAAGUAUUUCCAGAACUGCUACCAGGGUCUCAUCAAAGCAGCGAUGCUCAGGCAGAAGCAUGCAAGACGAAGGUGACUUUUCUGAGAACAAAGUGAAAUUAAGUUUAUUGGGUGAGCAGCUUUUCAGACUGCAAGUCCUGACCGAGGAGGACAGUGUGGCGAAAUGGCUACCUCUUGCUUGUGGGGGUUCGUUCAUCAGAAACAGCAGUGGCUGAAAACCUUAACACAGUUCCUGCUUAUCAGCUGUGCUGGAGCACUUUGUGCCGUUGUGCUGGGCGUAAUAACGGGAUCCUAGGCUGCUGCUUGUACACCGUGGUCGAGCAGGAAGUAGCUGAAAGUGUUACUAAAAUUCAAGUGUGGUGCAACCCAGAGCGCAGCUCCCAGAGGCAGCGAACAGACGCAGCAGUUUGCGCAGCAGUUUGCGCAGCAGUUUGCGCAGCAGUUUGCGCAGCAGUUUGCGCAGCAGUUUGCGCAGCAGUUUGCGCAGCAGUUUGCGCGAAGGGACGUGCGAAGGGACCUUCAUUUCUGUUCCCUGUGGUGUACACUUCCUCAAGUAUGGUCGUGACACGCCGCACAGCGCGUUCCCCAGUGACUGUUGGAGUUGCUGCAUCAGAGGCUUGGACCCAGACUGACCCUCUGACAGUAGAUGCGGCUCUAC
Molecule: long non-coding RNA, 838 nt
Filed under: Apteryx haastii (Great spotted kiwi)
Lineage: Eukaryota; Metazoa; Chordata; Aves; Apterygiformes; Apterygidae
Description: lncRNA (ENSAHAG00000000521.1)
Source: RNAcentral